This 421-nucleotide ribosomal RNA is filed under the name Triticum aestivum (bread wheat). RNAcentral describes it as "partial small subunit ribosomal RNA". The record is from RNAcentral. Lineage: Eukaryota; Viridiplantae; Streptophyta; Magnoliopsida; Poales; Poaceae.
CCGGAAUUUCCUUGCUACACCAUGCACAUAUGAUCUGUAGCUACAAUAAUGCACUUCAGAGAUCGUAAUAUUAGCUCUCGUCUGACGACACGAGAAGGAUAUGUGGGGGUAGUCUUAAUUAAAUUCAUCUGUUGAUCAUCCAGGCUGAGAAGUCAGGACAGCCUCGCGGCAGACACCUAAUGUGUGUCUGAAUUGUUAGAUUUGAAUAUGCAAGCCUGUAACCUGGUGUACCGUCGCCGAUUACUAGUUUCCUGUUGUGAUACGAGUGAUGCAGUGUGUGUACUGUGUUAUCUUGGUACUACAUCCUAAUGAGCUCAUUUCUUCCCAUUGUCUUUUAUCUUUGUGAUGCUUCAGACUAUCUUUGUGAUGCAGUGUGUCUGUACUGUUCUAUCUUGGUAUGGUUGUUGGAUCUCCACAGAAU